UUUGCACGGGCACCCCUGCACAUACCAGACGCGCGAACCCCACGUCCCGAUCACCAUGGCGGCGACUUGCGGCUAGAUACAGAAAAACUCAGCGUACGCCCUAACCUUCCACAAAGAAGAGAUCCCGGCGGCCGGACGCGUAUGAAGUAAUGGGAUCUGCAAAUAGUUGGCAGAUGCAGUUGAAUAAGGAAGGAUUUAGUACACCCAUAAAGAAAGCAAUUGUUCCUGUCAUUUGCUCAUCUUUUAUACCUAAUUGUGAAGAUAAUUUGAAGCCUAAUGUGGGGAUGAAAUUUCAAGGACUGAAGGCCGUGGAGGAGUUCUACAAGUCUUAUGCACAUCACUCUGGUUCUGGAUAAGAACAAAGAAGCCAAGGUCAAGGUUGCACGCUUGUGUAAGACAUGCUACCAGAUAGGGUUUCAUGACAGUCGCAAUUGUCCUAGCAAAAAAGGUCAAGGAAAAGAAACCAUGAAUGUGCAGCACAUGCUUCGAAAUGGUUAAUCAUGAUAGCCGCAACUCCGUAAAAGACACAGGGCUUAUUAAUGCCAUUUUGUUAGUUUUACUGAAAAUUUCCAUCUAUGUAAUAGAUGAUAAAUUGUGUUUA
This is a long non-coding RNA of Triticum aestivum (bread wheat), 601 nucleotides long. RefSeq lists it as uncharacterized. NCBI's taxonomy places the organism in Eukaryota, Viridiplantae, Streptophyta, Magnoliopsida, Poales, Poaceae. The transcript is spliced from 3 exons. The record is from RefSeq and is a predicted model, not a curated record.